CUACGGGGGCUGCAGUGAGGAAUAUUGGGCAAUGGGCGAGAGCCUGACCCAGCAACGCCGCGUGGAGGAAGACGCAUCAAGGUGUGUAAACUCCUGUUAGAUGGGACGAAAGUUAUGUAUUCGAAUAGGGUAUAUAUUUGCCGGUACCAUCAGAGAAAGCUCCGGCUAACUCCGUGCCAGCAGCCGCGGUAAUACGGGGGGAGCAAGCGUUGUCCGGAAUCAUUGGGCGUAAAGGGCAAGUAGGCGGGUUUGUCAGUCGGAAGUGCAAUCUCAGUGCUUAACAUUGAGUUAGCUUCCGAAAGUGCAGAUCAUGAGUAGGAGAGAGGGAUGCGGAAUUCGCGGUGUAGCGGUGAAAUGCGUAGAUAUCGGGAAGAACACCAGUAGCGAAGGCGGCAUUCUGGCUCAUAACUGACGCUGAAUUGCGAAAGCGUGGGUAGCGAACGGGAUUAGAUACCCCGGUAGUC
RNAcentral lists this ribosomal RNA (464 nucleotides) under uncultured bacterium. Its description in RNAcentral is "partial 16S ribosomal RNA". It matches the Rfam family "Bacterial small subunit ribosomal RNA", at positions 339 to 795 of the family's 1533-position model. The record is from RNAcentral.